AUUCCAGCUCCGCAGGUGUAUAUCUAUGCUGCUGCGGUUAAAAAGCUCGUAGUUGGAUCUGCGUGCUCGGAACUGGUUGGCUCACUGAGUUCAAACUGGUCUCCGGCGCUUUAUUGGCUGGUUUUCCCUUGAUGCUCUUAACCGGGUGUCUUGGGUGGCUAGCACGUUUACUUUGAAAAAAUUAGAGUGCUCAAUACAGGCGUAAAGCCUUGAAUAGUGGUGCAUGGAAUAAUAGAAUAGGACCUCGGCUCUAUUUUGUUGGUUUUUCGGAACGCGAGGUAAUGAUUAAGAGGGACAGACGGGGGCAUUCGUAUUGCGACGUUAGAGGUGAAAUUCUUGGAUCGUCGCAAGACGGACGACUGCGAAAGCAUUUGCCAAGAAUGUUUUCAUUAAUCAAGAACGAAAGUUAGAGGUUCGAAGGCGAUCAGAUACCGCCCUAGUUCUAACCGUAAACGAUGCCAACUAGCGAUUCGCAGGCGUUAAACAACGACCUUGCGGGCAGCUUCCCGGAAACGAAAGUGUUCGGGUUCCGGGGGAAGUAUGGUUGCAAAGCUGAAACUUAAAGGAAUUGACGGAAGGGCACCACCAGGAGUGGAGCCUGCGGCUUAAUUUGACCCAACACGGGAAAACUCACCCGGCCCGGACACCGUAAGGAUUGACAGAUUGAGAGCUCUUUCUUGAUUCGGUGGGUGGUGGUGCAUGGCCGUUCUUAGUUGGUGGAGCGAUUUGUCUGGUUUAUUCCGAUAACGAACGAGACUCUGGCCUACUAAAUAGUGGGCGGAUUCUUUCUGUCCGCAACACUUCUUAGAGGGACAAGCGGUGUUCAGCCGCACGAGAUUAAGCAAUAACAGGUCUGUGAUGCCCUUAGAUGUCCGGGGCUGCACGCGCGCUACACUGAAGAAAUCAGCGUGCUUUCUGACCUUGCCCGAAAGGGCUGGGUAACCCGAUGAAAAUCCUUCGUGAUUGGGAUAGGGACUUGCAAUUAUUUCCCUUGAACGAGGAAUUCCCAGUAAGUGUAGGUCAUAAGCUCGCGUUGAUUACGUCCCUGCCCUUUGUACACACCGCCCGUCGCUGCCCGGAACUGAGCCGUUUCGAGAAGAACAGGGACCGUCGUUGAAGGGCCUUAACGGGCUUUUCUCUGAUAGAAACUGUU
This 1153-nucleotide ribosomal RNA is filed under the name metagenome. RNAcentral describes it as "SSU rRNA". It matches the Rfam family "Eukaryotic small subunit ribosomal RNA", at positions 582 to 1758 of the family's 1831-position model. The record is from RNAcentral.